AAGAUCAUAUUUUCAGGCAUCAUUUCUAUAGUUACUAGAGAAGUUUCCCUGAUCAUGUAGAGCACUGGAAACCAUGGGGAAAAGAGGUAGUGUUCUCUCUUGAGGGUUAAACUGUCUCUUACUGUUGCUUCUGCCACUGACAUUCUUUUUUUCUUCUUCUUUUUUUUAAGAUUUUUAUUUUCAUUUAUUUGACAGAGAAAGCAAGAGAGCACAAGCAGG
Molecule: small nucleolar RNA, 219 nt
Filed under: Mustela putorius furo (domestic ferret)
Lineage: Eukaryota; Metazoa; Chordata; Mammalia; Carnivora; Mustelidae
Description: Small nucleolar RNA U3
Rfam family: Small nucleolar RNA U3
About the family: Small nucleolar RNAs (snoRNAs) are involved in the processing and modification of rRNA in the nucleolus. There are two main classes of snoRNAs: the box C/D class, and the box H/ACA class. U3 snoRNA is a member of the box C/D class.
Source: Rfam by way of RNAcentral